Molecule: ribosomal RNA, 581 nt
Filed under: Meyerozyma caribbica
Lineage: Eukaryota; Fungi; Ascomycota; Pichiomycetes; Serinales; Debaryomycetaceae
Description: partial large subunit ribosomal RNA
Rfam family: Eukaryotic large subunit ribosomal RNA
Source: RNAcentral
CGGGAUUGCCUUAGUAGCGGCGAGUGAAGCGGCAAAAGCUCAAAUUUGAAAUCUGGCACCUUCGGUGUCCGAGUUGUAAUUUGAAGAUUGUAACCUUGGGGUUGGCUCUUGUCUAUGUUUCUUGGAACAGGACGUCACAGAGGGUGAGAAUCCCGUGCGAUGAGAUGCCCAAUCCUAUGUAAGGUGCUUUCGAAGAGUCGAGUUGUUUGGGAAUGCAGCUCUAAGUGGGUGGUAAAUUCCAUCUAAAGCUAAAUAUUGGCGAGAGACCGAUAGCGAACAAGUACAGUGAUGGAAAGAUGAAAAGAACUUUGAAAAGAGAGUGAAAAAGUACGUGAAAUUGUUGAAAGGGAAGGGUUUGAGAUCAGACUCGAUAUUUUGUGAGCCUUGCCUUCGUGGCGGGGUGACCCGCAGCUUAUCGGGCCAGCAUCGGUUUGGGCGGUAGGAUAAUGGCGUAGGAAUGUGACUUUGCUUCGGUGAAGUGUUAUAGCCUGCGUUGAUGCUGCCUGCCUAGACCGAGGACUGCGAUUUUAUCAAGGAUGCUGGCAUAAUGAUCCCAAACCGCCCGUCUUGAAACACGGACC